This 256-nucleotide unclassified non-coding RNA is filed under the name Daphnia pulicaria. RNAcentral describes it as "isotocin receptor-like, transcript variant X1". Lineage: Eukaryota; Metazoa; Arthropoda; Branchiopoda; Diplostraca; Daphniidae. The record is from RNAcentral.
GUUAAUAUCCUGUACAAACAAACAAAGAGGGGAAAUUAUGCUUCGUCUGCUCAGCAACAUAUUCUCUUAAUCUCAUGCCGCUAGAGACCAGACCAUCAUUAUUUUAAGAAAAUCGUGCUCUUAAGGGAUCAAGCAUUACAGAAUGGGCCUGUGACUAGGCAGAUGUGAGUCCUGUUGCGGUGAUUAUUCUUCUGCUUGCGUCAUUGAACUCUUGCUCUAACCCUUGGAUUUAUCUAGCAUUCAGUGGCAGUCUGCU